RNAcentral lists this transfer-messenger RNA (348 nucleotides) under Dehalococcoidia. Its description in RNAcentral is "GCA-002700125 sp013911545 X1 Standard tmRNA". It matches the Rfam family "transfer-messenger RNA". From Rfam's summary of the family: Bacterial tmRNA, also known as 10Sa RNA or SsrA, is named for its dual tRNA and mRNA-like properties. RNAcentral also lists the same sequence under 2 other names. Lineage: Bacteria; Bacillati; Chloroflexota. The record is from RNAcentral.
GGGGACGCGUGGUUUCGACAGAUAAGUAAAAGUUUAGUUUGCGAAUCGAGUGCCAUAUUCUCGUAAAAAGUAUGGAAAAAAUAAACGGCGAAAAAGAAUACGCUUUAGCAGCAGUUUAAACUAGCUUGCUACAUCUUUUUAAGCUUAGCCCGGAAAGCUUAAAUAAGGUGACAUUAUACCGGGAUGCAUUGAAAAAUUUGCUUAAUUUUUCAGUAAAGAUUUAAAGCAAACUGCUCAAUUUAAACUUGUUGCUUAGUUGAUUGGGUUUUUAUAUAAGCGACUAUGUUCGUAGAUAAUUAUUCAGUUAUUUAUUUGGACGGGGAGUUCGACUCUCCCCCGUCUCCACCA